AAAAGUCAUUCCAAAGGUUACCGCACGUUAUCACCAAUUUCGAAACCUGAGGGAUGCCGUGCGGAUGCACUAUAAUUGGCAGAUCGGGAUGGCCGUUGAUCCUUUAAAUCACUCGUCUCUACCUUCGAGCAGACGUGCAGGAGAGAGACUACAGAAAUUUACUUUGCCAUAAGUGACAUUUUGCUUCAGCCUUACUGUUAACAUGAUUAACAUGAUGUCGAAAACACUGCGGGUUUUGCUGUGCGUUGCAUUGAUUAUCUGCACAUUGACUCCUCAAAUUGAAGGAACUACAAUCGAAGAGGCACUACAAACAGCAACAACUGCUGAACCUACAACUGAUCCAUUCAGAUUCCUGCUCUUGUGUGCACCUGGUUCCGA
Long non-coding RNA from Argiope bruennichi, 378 nucleotides. RefSeq lists it as uncharacterized. The transcript has 2 exons. The record is from RefSeq and is a predicted model, not a curated record. Lineage: Eukaryota; Metazoa; Arthropoda; Arachnida; Araneae; Araneidae.